GACGAACGCUGGCGGCGUGCCUAAUACAUGCGAGUUGAGCGCUGAAGGUUGGUACUUGUACCAACUGGAUGAGCAGCGAACGGGUGAGUAACGCGUGGGGAAUCUGCCUUUGAGCGGGGGACAACAUUUGGAAACGAAUGCUAAUACCGCAUAAAAACUUUAAACACAAGUUUUAAGUUUGAAAGAUGCAAUUGCAUCACUCAAAGAUGAUCCCGCGUUGUAUUAGCUAGUUGGUGAGGUAAAGGCUCACCAAGGCGAUGAUACAUAGCCGACCUGAGAGGGUGAACGGCCACAAUGGGACUGAGACACGGCCCAAACUCCUACGGGAGGCAGCAGUAGGGAAUCUUCGGCAAUGGACGAAAGUCUGACCGAGCAACGCCGCGUGAGUGAAGAAGGUUUUCGGAUCGUAAAACUCUGUUGGUAGAGAAGAACGUUGGUGAGAGUGGAAAGCUCAUCAAGUGACGGUAACUACCCAGAAAGGGACGGCUAACUACGUG
This 497-nucleotide ribosomal RNA is filed under the name uncultured bacterium. RNAcentral describes it as "partial 16S ribosomal RNA". It matches the Rfam family "Bacterial small subunit ribosomal RNA", at positions 28 to 507 of the family's 1533-position model. The record is from RNAcentral.